UACGAGGAGCCCUAGCGUUAUCCGGAUUUAUUGGGCGUAAAGGGUGCGUAGGGGGUUUUGCGCGUUUGUUGUUAAAUUCCACCGCUCAACGGUGGUCCUGCGACGAAUACGGCAAGACUAGAGGAUACUAGAGGUGAGCGGAACGCACGGUGUAGGGGUGAAAUCCGUUGAGAUCGUGCGGAACACCAAAGGCGAAAGCAGCUCACUGGGGUAUUCCUGACCCUGAGGCACGAAAGCGUGGGGAGCAAAAAGG
Molecule: ribosomal RNA, 253 nt
Filed under: uncultured bacterium
Lineage: Bacteria
Description: partial 16S ribosomal RNA
Rfam family: Bacterial small subunit ribosomal RNA
Source: RNAcentral